AUUCCUGCCUCGUUCUGCACAGGCUCAGGUGUGUACUGGUCUCAUCACAUAAAAUAUUCUGCAGGUUUAAUAGUUUUCCACACAGCUGACCUCUGUGUCCCUUUGCAGAAAUCAGGACUAAAUACUGCACUCUUCAUCGGAGAUGAUCGAGCUGGCAGUGCUGACAGAAGCUCGCUGUUCCAGCAUUUUUCUGCUCAAGGUGAAGAUAACAGCCAUAUUUGUUUUUCACUGACUCCAAAAAAUGUUAUAUCUGGUAAAGUUGUUUGCACUUUUUCUCAGUGUAUCUCUUUCUGUGUGUGUCUUUUUGUGUGUUUACAUCAUUUUUUGUUUUCAUCUUGUAGAACGAGUCCUCCAAAGUCAAUCAGCAAUCAGCUAUCUUCCCUCAGAUAGUCGACUAUGAGGGAAAAACUGUGUCCAUGAUCCUAAAGGACUGCUGCUCAAUCUGAUGGUGGGAAACUGAUACUAAUUAUUUCUUGGUUAUAUAUUCCAAAAUUGUAUGGGGUUAUGUGCAAGUGUUGACAAUUGGUCAAUUAUGUUUUGCAGUUCAUGAAUAAUGAGUUUUAGGAUUCCAGUGACAAGCAAUUGAAAACAAUCCAUGUUGAUCGAUCGAUUACAAAAUUCAGUGUGGAUGAGAUAUCAGAAAACAUGUUAAAUACUCACAGUACCUUAGAUGUUCAUGACGUCUGUGGUGCUUCUCUGUGAAAUUCUGUGUUUUUCUGCAUGCAAAGACAUGAAAAAUCCUGGAGAGAGAGAGGGGUGGAAAAUGCAGAUAUAGAAAGAGAAGUUAAAAUCUCCAAAUGUUAAAAAAAAAAACUCUCCAUAACUAUUGUUUGUUUACUUUAGUGUAAAAUGAAUACCAAUGUCGAUAAGUGGCUGAAAACAAAGAAGACUUUUGCCACUAGGAAACCAAGUAUUACGAAAGUCAUAAUUCUUUCUUCCACUUCACAUCUUUUAUUCUAAAUUAAGUAUUGUAUAAUAACUUUCAAUGACUCAAUAGAAUAAAAUGGAAUUUCCUUUUCUGGAGGUAUUUUCCCAUUAUUCUCACGUUGACUUAUUUAAAAUAAUUUUAAUCAAGCCUCUUACCUUCCAAUGAUUUAAUAUUAUCACAAGAUUAGUAAAGGUAAUGAACAAUCACACUUCUUGAAAGUUAUCCUAUCUGCAGUACAUUAUUAUUCCAAUAAUAUUGGUACCUCUGGAAAAUAAGAGCAGAAAAUAAAUCUGCAUUGCUUUUCCUUUUGGUCUUUCAUUCAUAAAAUUCUAACCUAUCACUGAAGUACAACUUUGUGAGCCAAUCAGAUGUAGUUUAAACAAUAUGGGUUUGAUCAUAGGAACAUUCUGUUUUAUGGUUUUGGACACCACUAUAAAAUCGAUGUAAAAUAAUUUGUACACGCUAACAUACACUUGGUAUUAACAUGUGAUCACCCUGAUCAAAACAAGCAGAUCGGAUCAUCAGGUGUACACUGAUAUUACACUUGGCAACAUCACCUAACGUUUCUAUCUGGAUAACCGAUCGGAUCUGUCUUUCCAUAUUUGAAUAAGUCUGCAGAGAUUGGUCAUUUUGCAUGAUGUCGAUCUGCAAAUGUACACGUGAAAGCUGGAUUGCAUUUGCAUUAUACUGAGAUCCGAUCACAAUGCGUCCUCGACUACUUCUGGACCAGGACACGCUGAGCCGGUAGCAUUCCCACGUCUUUUUGAUGUGUAUGUAGAUAACAUCCAGAUACAGGUCACAUGCUAUAAUGGCAAUUUUAAACGCAGCCUCUGACAUUUCUUAUUCACACCUGUAACGUUUUCUUCAAGAUAAUUUUUUUAAAGCUGCUUAAAUAAGUUAACUGCUUAUAAUUAAAUUAACUAAGGCCUAGUCCUGGUUUAAUCACACAAAGAGUGCCAUUUUUUCCUCCAGAUAUCUUGUGUUCUGCAAUGAGGAGCAAUGUCCCCAAGCAAUGAACUUAUUCACUUAUUGAAUGAAUCAGCUUUUUGAACAAAUCGGUUGAAUCAGUGAUUCAGUGAUUCACUCAUUAACAUGGUCAAAAGCUUUGUCCCUGAAUGAAUCAGCAGUUUGAAUGAAUCGGUUGAAUCUAAAUGACUCAUUCAUUAACAGUCACUUGUUGUCACCUAAGCCCCUUUCACACUGCACGUCGGACCCGCAAUAUUCCCGUAACAAUUGCCUGGUCGCCUUCUGUGUGAAAGCAACCACGUCCCGGAAUUGAUUACCGAAUUGAACCCGGGUCGGGGACCUAGUAACAUUGCGGUAAUCGAUCCGGAACGAGCGCUGUGUGAACAAAAGCCAGAUCUAAUUCCGUAUCGAAGUGAUGACGCGCGUUAUCGCGCGACUCUUUUACCGGCUGUUUUGAAGGAAGAUCAACAUUCGUGACGAAAACAUAUGUGCAAACUGUAAUGAAGCAGAGAUCAGUUAGUUCCUCACUUUCCGCGCUGACGCCGAGAUCGUUUGCUUGCUUCAGUUAAAGUAUAACGUGCCAAGCGUUGUCGACUCGUACAUUACACGUCACGCGAUGAUGUCACGUGUCGUUACGGGAUCUUCAAGGGUUGUGUGUGAAAGCACGCACAUAUACCGGGUCAUCACUGGCAGUGUGAAAGUGCCAAAUCUAGCGACCAGGGAACAAUUACAGGAACACUUUACCCCUGUAUUUGCCGGAAUGGCAGUGUGAAAGGGGCUUUACUUCACAUUUUGACUAUUUUUUUCAUGUUUUGUAUUAUAUGUUUUAUGUUAAAAACAAAACAUUAGGCCUAUUUAUGCAUCUGUAAAUGCAGGUUAAAUGCAUCCAUGCCCCCCCUGAGCUACACUGAACUGUGUAAAAAAAAAAAUUAGUAUGCUGGAUCGAAAGAUACUAAGUAGAUGAAGAGCUUCUUAAUCUACUUAGUUUUAAUUCUUUAUUCAAAGACACAAAAUGGAAUAAAGAACUAAAAACUAAACACAAUCUUGCUACACAAACAGUGUAUGAACAUUUUCCAUGUGUAUGAUGCUUUUCCAUUUACUUGUACUUUUACUUUCAAUUGUUAAGUAUGUUUAAUAUAAAAUAUAAAUACUUUUCAUACUUAAGUACAGUAAAUAUGACUUACUUUAAGACUUUUACUCAAGUAAUAUUCUAAAUGGUGACCUCAGCUUCUACCAAAGUUAUUUUCUGGUAAGAUAUCUGUACUUUUACUUUACUAUGGCUUUCAGGUAGUUUAUCCACCGCUGUUGUUUAUUUGGCAGAUUCUUUUAACCAACACACUAUUCAGACUAUAGAUGCUUUCUGGAAAUCAGCUGUCGAACCCAGAUUCUUAACACUGAAUUACUGCUAAUACAGGGCUUCGGUUAUAUACUGUUGCUGUGGAGACAAGAACUGGCAAUAGCAUUACAUUAGUUUGAAAGGUUCACUUUAGGAAGCUUUAGCAGCGCCCAACCCUCACCUACUCUUCUGUGAAAACAAACAACAUCUAAUUCAAUGAAAUAUGUCACUUUGACCAAAAAGAAAAUAAUGAUAAGCAAAACACUGGUCUAAUUAGAAAAGUCCAUUGCUGGAUGAAGUCUAACAUUUAUGGCAGUCAGCAACAAACCAAGAAUUAAGCCAAGAGUUUAGUUGAACACUUUAAAAGUAAAUGUCAUUAUUAAAUAAAUUGAUUUCGUGUUUAUCGAUCAC
RNAcentral lists this long non-coding RNA (3641 nucleotides) under Carassius auratus (goldfish). RNAcentral's name for it is "lncRNA (ENSCARG00000030569.1)". The record is from RNAcentral. Lineage: Eukaryota; Metazoa; Chordata; Actinopteri; Cypriniformes; Cyprinidae.